This is a non-coding RNA of Pelodiscus sinensis (Chinese soft-shelled turtle), 262 nucleotides long. NCBI's taxonomy places the organism in Eukaryota, Metazoa, Chordata, Testudines, Trionychidae. The record is from RefSeq and is a predicted model, not a curated record.
GUCUGCAGGAAACUUGGCCACACCCAUGAUAAGUGGACAUCCAGUUGUACGAGACUGCCAGAGCAGAAAGGUUGAAUCUGUACUUAUAUGAUAGUACAAGGAAAGAAGGCUCAGCCAAAUAAACUCAAGGCUUUACAUAAAUUAAAUCAUUCUAUAACUACGGUUCUUUAAUCUGAGAUCAUGGUCAAUCAAGACUUCUAAACAUAUGUCUUCAGAAAUAAAUUACAGAAUAAAGCCUGUUCCUGGUGAUCUGUCCAAGUGG